This 497-nucleotide ribosomal RNA is filed under the name uncultured bacterium. RNAcentral's name for it is "partial 16S ribosomal RNA". It matches the Rfam family "Bacterial small subunit ribosomal RNA", at positions 28 to 507 of the family's 1533-position model. The record is from RNAcentral.
GACGAACGCUGGCGGCGUGCCUAAUACAUGCAAGUUGAGCGCUGAAGGUUGGUACUUGUACCCACUGGAUGAGCAGCGAACGGGUGAGUAACGCGUGGGGAAUCUGCCUUUGAGCGGGGGACAACAUUUGGAAACGAAUGCUAAUACCGCAUAAAAACUUUAAACACAAGUUUUAAGUUUGAAAGAUGCAAUUGCAUCACUCAAAGAUGAUCCCGCGUUGUAUUAGCUAGUUGGUGAGGUAAAGGCUCACCAAGGCGAUGAUACAUAGCCGACCUGAGAGGGUGAUCGGCCACAUUGGGACUGAGACACGGCCCAAACUCCUACGGGAGGCAGCAGUAGGGAAUCUUCGGCAAUGGACGAAAGUCUGACCGAGCAACGCCGCGUGAGGGAAGAAGGUUUUCGGAUCGUAAAACUCUGUUGGUAGAGAAGAACGUUGGUGAGAGUGGAAAGCUCAUCAAGUGACGGUAACUACCCAGAAAGGGACGGCUAACUACGUG